UUCGAAUAUUUGGGCUUUUAUGGAUUUCAUGGUGUCUUUGUGUUUGAGCAGAAAGCAUGGGAAGUUGCACAGGCCCCAUUCAAGAAUUUGAUGAUGAUGGGUUUCAUGAUGUGGAUGGCUGGGAGUACGGUGCAUUUGUUUAGCAUUAGAAUCACCUUAUCACGUAUGAAUGGUUUUCUAUUACCAUCAGUCAUGGCAUUUUGUAGUAGCCACCUUGUCAUUGCGGAAUAAUUCUGGUUUAAUGGGAGGGUUUUGAUUCUUCAUUAUUGUUAUUCUGCCUUUACAUGCAUAUGUUUUGAUGAAAUAAAGGCUGAUCAGGGCUUGCUGUCAUAGCUCUCUCAGUAUGACAACAAGAUUACUAAUUAUUCACCUGUGCAGAAAAUGUGACUGACAUUACCUUCUCAAACAUACAUAUGAGCACAAGAUACUAUGAUCAAUCCUGGUGGGGAAGAGCGGAGCCAAUCUACGUGACCACAUGUCCUCAACACUCAAAGUCAAAGGAGGAAGAUGGACCAACAAUGCUGGUGGGUUGGUAGACUACAGACCGGGAUGUCAGGGACUUGUUAAACACAGCACGGCCGGGAUCAUCAUGGAACACAUCAAUGGCUUGGUGAUUGACAAUGUUAAUAUGAGAUGGUCCGAUGAUCCGUUAAGGCAGUGGAAUGAUCCUUUGGAUUUCAGGGCUGCUACUGUAAAUAACAUAUCUCUGCUUAAUUUCCACUCCAACUUGUACAAACAAUGAAGGAGGUGGAUAGAGAGAGAGAGAGAUUAGGAAGAAGUAUUGAAUAAUGUCAUUCCUUAGAUUGUAUGUUGGUGAUGGAUUUUGUUCAAAGUUUUUAUUAGAUUAAGGGCAUGAAAGUUUGUUCAAUUGGUCACCCACCAAGCAAAACCAAUAUCUAGAGUUGUUUUGUAUGUUAUGGUUUAAAAGUUUUUUAACCAGAAUACACUACAAAUUCUGUUCACUCACACUCUGAGUUGUGAGAAAUACAGAGGUAUUUCAACUGAA
Non-coding RNA from Malus domestica (apple), 1006 nucleotides. Lineage: Eukaryota; Viridiplantae; Streptophyta; Magnoliopsida; Rosales; Rosaceae. The record is from RefSeq and is a predicted model, not a curated record.